CGAAAGCCUGACGGAGCAAUACCGCGUGAGGGAGGAAGGCUCUUGGGUUGUAAACCUCUUUUCUCAGGGAAGAAAAAAAUGACGGUACCUGAGGAAUAAGCAUCGGCUAACUCCGUGCCAGCAGCCGCGGUAAUACGGAGGAUGCAAGCGUUAUCCGGAAUGAUUGGGCGUAAAGGGUCCGCAGGUGGCAUUGUAAGUCUGCUGUUAAAGAGUUUGGCUCAACCAAAUAAAAGCAGUGGAAACUACAAAGCUAGAGUUUGGUCGGGGCAGAGGGAAUUCCUGGUGUAGCGGUGAAAUGCGUAGAUAUCAGGAAGAACACCAGUGGCGAAGGCGCUCUGCUAGGCCGAGACUGACACUGAGGGACGAAAGCUAGGGGAGC
RNAcentral lists this ribosomal RNA (379 nucleotides) under uncultured cyanobacterium. RNAcentral's name for it is "bacterial SSU rRNA". It matches the Rfam family "Bacterial small subunit ribosomal RNA", at positions 376 to 769 of the family's 1533-position model. Lineage: Bacteria; Bacillati; Cyanobacteriota. The record is from RNAcentral.